Molecule: ribosomal RNA, 1742 nt
Filed under: Salmonella enterica
Lineage: Bacteria; Pseudomonadati; Pseudomonadota; Gammaproteobacteria; Enterobacterales; Enterobacteriaceae
Description: partial 23S ribosomal RNA
Rfam family: Bacterial large subunit ribosomal RNA
Source: RNAcentral
GUGUUGUUGGGUAGGGGAGCGUUCUGUAAGCCUGUGAAGGUGUGUCGUGAGGCAUGCUGGAGGUAUCAGAAGUGCGAAUGCUGACAUAAGUAACGAUAAAGCGGGUGAAAAGCCCGCUCGCCGGAAGACCAAGGGUUCCUGUCCAACGUUAAUCGGGGCAGGGUGAGUCGACCCCUAAGGCGAGGCCGAAAGGCGUAGUCGAUGGGAAACGGGUUAAUAUUCCCGUACUUGGUGUUACUGCGAAGGGGGGACGGAGAAGGCUAUGUUGGCCGGGCGACGGUUGUCCCGGUUUAAGCGUGUAGGUGUGUGUUCCAGGUAAAUCCGGUUCACUUUAACACUGAGGCGUGACGACGAGGCACUACGGUGCUGAAGCAACAAAUGCCCUGCUUCCAGGAAAAGCCUCUAAGCAUCAGGUAACAUCAAAUCGUACCCCAAACCGACACAGGUGGUCAGGUAGAGAAUACCAAGGCGCUUGAGAGAACUCGGGUGAAGGAACUAGGCAAAAUGGUGCCGUAACUUCGGGAGAAGGCACGCUGACACGUAGGUGAAGUGAUUUACUCAUGGAGCUGAAGUCAGUCGAAGAUACCAGCUGGCUGCAACUGUUUAUUAAAAACACAGCACUGUGCAAACACGAAAGUGGACGUAUACGGUGUGACGCCUGCCCGGUGCCGGAAGGUUAAUUGAUGGGGUCAGCGCAAGCGAAGCUCCUGAUCGAAGCCCCGGUAAACGGCGGCCGUAACUAUAACGGUCCUAAGGUAGCGAAAUUCCUUGUCGGGUAAGUUCCGACCUGCACGAAUGGCGUAAUGAUGGCCAGGCUGUCUCCACCCGAGACUCAGUGAAAUUGAACUCGCUGUGAAGAUGCAGUGUACCCGCGGCAAGACGGAAAGACCCCGUGAACCUUUACUAUAGCUUGACACUGAACAUUGAGCCUUGAUGUGUAGGAUAGGUGGGAGGCUUUGAAGUGUGGACGCCAGUCUGCAUGGAGCCGACCUUGAAAUACCACCCUUUAAUGUUUGAUGUUCUAACGUGGACCCGUGAUCCGGGUUGCGGACAGUGUCUGGUGGGUAGUUUGACUGGGGCGGUCUCCUCCUAAAGAGUAACGGAGGAGCACGAAGGUUGGCUAAUCCUGGUCGGACAUCAGGAGGUUAGUGCAAUGGCAUAAGCCAGCUUGACUGCGAGCGUGACGGCGCGAGCAGGUGCGAAAGCAGGUCAUAGUGAUCCGGUGGUUCUGAAUGGAAGGGCCAUCGCUCAACGGAUAAAAGGUACUCCGGGGAUAACAGGCUGAUACCGCCCAAGAGUUCAUAUCGACGGCGGUGUUUGGCACCUCGAUGUCGGCUCAUCACAUCCUGGGGCUGAAGUAGGUCCCAAGGGUAUGGCUGUUCGCCAUUUAAAGUGGUACGCGAGCUGGGUUUAGAACGUCGUGAGACAGUUCGGUCCCUAUCUGCCGUGGGCGCUGGAGAACUGAGGGGGGCUGCUCCUAGUACGAGAGGACCGGAGUGGACGCAUCACUGGUGUUCGGGUUGUCAUGCCAAUGGCACUGCCCGGUAGCUAAAUGCGGAAGAGAUAAGUGCUGAAAGCAUCUAAGCACGAAACUUGCCCCGAGAUGAGUUCUCCCUGAGACUUAGAGUCUCCUGAAGGAACGUUGAAGACGACGACGUUGAUAGGCCGGGUGUGUAAGCGCAGCGAUGCGUUGAGCUAACCGGUACUAAUGAACCGUGAGGCUUAACCUUACAACGCCGAAG